Long non-coding RNA from Ornithodoros turicata, 3427 nucleotides. RefSeq lists it as uncharacterized. Lineage: Eukaryota; Metazoa; Arthropoda; Arachnida; Ixodida; Argasidae. The record is from RefSeq and is a predicted model, not a curated record. The transcript has 3 exons.
GUUGGCGCAGACUCAGAAGGGUCUAACGCCUUCGCCAGUGAUGCCAGGCUUGUGAUAGCUCCCGUUGCCCUCGGUUGCACUUGCCCGGCCACUGCACGAGUACAACAUUCACUACACGAUACGUAAGGCCAAAUGGAUGCUUACUAUGCAGGGCUAACCCGUGACGAUCAGCACACGCAACACCCAAAGCUCCCGACGUGAUCCUGGAAUGGAAAUACAACCAAUAAUAACAGAUUGUGAACUAUCGGACCAUGACAAUGGAGCAAGUAGAUAAAGGCACGUGGAUUUCGCUUUGAGCAUUUAAUACGUUUACGAAAUUCGUGAUUAGAUUCACUGACGUACUCACACAUCGUUCAAACAUUUCACAAGAGGUGCUUCCAUACUUUGACUGUGACCGUCCUGUGCUGUGCUGAGAGGGUUGAACUGUUUUGCCAAGGUGCCUUGGUUUUGCUUUCCUCGAGCACGGCAAAAUGCACUCUCGUUUGCAGUACCCCUGUGGCCCCUAGAAAUCCUAGAAAUGGUAACCUGCCUACCGAACGAAACCAACCGUAACCACCACCACCAGUCACGUGAGGUUACUCACACGGCUGCGGCCAUGGCUACUGCCACUAAAAUCCGACGCCAUCCGAUCCGAUGUGUCGGAACGGAAAGCUUUCACGCACGCUUUCAUUCUAUUCAUAAAAAAAUGAGCUGCCCCUUUUUGCCUUUUUCUCCAAGGGAGCAAGAGAAAUGACGGAAACGUUUCAGACGGGUGCAGCAACCCGUCGGCCUGAAAAGAAUGUGAGUGGAAGUUGGUGGCGUCUGCUGCGUCGUCUGCUCACGCGUUAUUUCCCUCUGCGGUGCCAAACAUUCCGACGCAAACCUUCUUUUUCCUAUAAAUUCGUCAUGAAAUGAAGUGAAGGUGCAUUUGUGAGCACAAUGGACCACCUGUCGCGGCACGUCACAUCAAGAUACCAUGAGAUUGCGAAAAAGUGGAUCGUUGGCAGCGCACGUGGUUUUAUUUUGCCGACGACGGGUCCUGAGAUGUGUUGUUACGUAGACUGUAUUUCCUAUCACCUUUCAGAAUAUCACAAUGGCUUCGAAGUUUUACGGAAACACCGGCGAACUUCGCUGCAUAGCAGAGGCGACCGCCUCGCUUGAGCUCAGACCGAGGGAGGAACGAGGCACGGAGCUCGAACAGAUUUUUGUCCGUAUUUGAACUUCGAAACAGUUAGUUUCGACCGUUGCAGGUAACUUUUUUGUUUUCGUUCCUAUGCAGAAUGAAGAAAGAAGUUCCUAUGUUGUCUAUGCAGCAAGCUUGAAUCCCUCAAUUUAGUCUGCAGCCCCAAGAAUGCAAUCGGCAGACACCCACACUGCUAAGAGCUUGCAAUUUAUUUACGCUAAACACGUGAACAAACUUCGGGAAGUUUGUAAUAGCAUAAAAGAUGAUAUCGUACAAUAAAAGGCUAAAAACAUGCCCUUACUAGGAACACAUGAUAAAAACAUCUACAGUAGGGCACACCAAAUAGAUCAGAUACAUACAAAAAGCUUGAAUGUGGCAUAUAUACAAGAAUCGAGCUCGUAUUAGUUUCGCUUAGAACGUGUUCGAGCCAACUUUCGCUCUUCAGAUUUGCCAUCCUUUGCAUCGGCGUUGAAAACGUUGUCCACGUCGGAUGGAAGUAGAGUUCUGUGUCCCUUCCGCUUUUUCGCGGGAGACUUCUGCUCCUUUCCAUCUCCACCGGGCAAGAUGCAGACAGCAUUCUGCUCAUCCAACGCAGACUCUCCAUCAGGUGUCACCUAGAGUGAAAGUAUCUGUGUAAACACUUCUUCGUACAACUUAGCAUCGCACAUCAGCCAAUGAAUGAGUCUUUACGAGAUACGUAAGGAAGAGAACAGUCUGAAGCAGUUGAUGGAUUAUGACCUAUGAGUAGAGCCUGAAGUUUUAGGAUUUUACCCGAUUCUUCCCCGAAUUUGCACCCCAAAUUGAAGGUUCACCCUUUAGGGUGAAACCCGAUUUUUACCCGGCAAAUUCCCCUCACUGGGAUGUCUGUAGAAAUGCAUUAACUGACUUGUUUGGCAGCAAAUGCAGUUACAUCACCGUUUGUACCAAACCAUUAGUCAGUUAGUUUGAGCAACUGAGCCAGAUUUCUCUCAGAAUUUAGCAUACCGGGAGUUUUUUCACCCGAAUUCGCAUGAAUUUAGUGCACAUGUUUAUUUACCCGAUUUUUACCCAGCGAAUUUAGAAAAGUAUAUUUCCCAAAAACUUCAGGCUCUACCUACGAGACACCGUUUAACUUUGGUUUCUACUGGACUGUUGAUAUAAUACUGUAAAAUAAAAUCUGGCGCAGUUUUCAUUAAAGGCACGCCGUACUACAUUCAUUCAACCUUUCGACACAAAUCCAUGUCGUCGUCUGUUGUUGAACGGUGUGGUUCGAUCAGGUAAGGCGGCACACAACUGCAGAGCGUAUCGUGUGCAGAGCGCAUGCAGGUUUCUUAAGAUCACGGGACACUGUGACUUGGGCGUAUCCCUUGUACCAAACAAACCAAUUAUCGAUACCCAAUAAUGUCCAAGUUAGAGUGAUCAAUAUGCACCCUCAACUUUCCCAACUCCAACGGUUAUCUGCAUAUGGUAAGUACGAGACUCCAGUCAGAGUUCAGGAAAGCAGUACCAGACACACUUCCUUUGUUCUUCUGCAGGAGUCCCCUUCAGCAGUACCCCGAAGGAGCACGGUCGGCUCUGAAAAUACGGGGCACCCUCCUCUUGAACCCUGGGGAGGCAACUGACGAAGUGCACAGAAGCCUAUUUUGGUGGUCUACCACAAACUUCCAUGGUACACGAUAUCCUCCCUCAGGACAAAUGCGAGUACAGGCAUACCAAAUGAGCAGGAACAGCCUACCAUUGGGCACUCCUUGUGUGCAGAAGCUGCAACCAUGGCCCGUGUACGUCGCCGUGGUGUUUUCAAGUCGGCUCUGCUGUCUUCGGCGCUCCUGACACUUGCCUGCCUCUGUGUACGGCGCCUCCUGGUGGGAGCGCUGGUCUCUAGUUCGCUGUUUUCUUGAUCUGUCACAUUCAAGGACGAACUGGAAACCUGUAGGAUCUUGCUGCCCUUUUCUUCAGAGGUGUCUCUUAAAUUAUUUACAUCCUCUUUUUGAGGGGCUUUUACUUCUGCUGCCAUUAGAGACUUGUCCUUGGCUGCUGCAGACUGCCUCUCACAUUGCAGUUGCGCGCUGGUGGGGCUACUGGGCCGCAUGCCAACGAUAAAGUCACGGAGGCGUUUCAAGGGAGAUAACGAAGCCGUACUCUGCUCAGUCAGUGCAGGAUUCCUCUCAGGAGUCACCUAGAGCAAAAAUAUCAGUGUAAACACUCUUCCGUGCAGUUUACUUUGACGCAUCUAUCAAUGAAAAAUGAGUAGUGCUCGACUGUAAUCAUGACAGCAACUCUCCUUGC